RNAcentral lists this transfer RNA (72 nucleotides) under Camelus bactrianus (Bactrian camel). It matches the Rfam family "tRNA". From Rfam's summary of the family: Transfer RNA (tRNA) molecules are approximately 80 nucleotides in length. Their secondary structure includes four short double-helical elements and three loops (D, anti-codon, and T loops). Further hydrogen bonds mediate the characteristic L-shaped molecular structure. tRNAs have two regions of fundamental functional importance: the anti-codon, which is responsible for specific mRNA codon recognition, and the 3' end, to which the tRNAs corresponding amino acid is attached (by aminoacyl-tRNA synthetases). tRNAs cope with the degeneracy of the genetic code in two manners: having more than one tRNA (with a specific anti-codon) for a particular amino acid; and 'wobble' base-pairing, i.e. permitting non-standard base-pairing at the 3rd anti-codon position. RNAcentral also lists the same sequence under 2 other names. Lineage: Eukaryota; Metazoa; Chordata; Mammalia; Artiodactyla; Camelidae. The record is from Rfam by way of RNAcentral.
GCAGGUACCGCUCAGCGGUAGAGAGCAGGCUUAACAUGCACGAGGUCCUGGGUUCAAUCCCCAGUACCUCCG